CCUACGGGUGGCAGCAGUGAGGAAUAUUGGUCAAUGGGCUUACGCCUGAACCAGCCAAGUCGCGUGAGGGAAGACUGCCCUAUGGGUUGUAAACCUCUUUUGUCAGGGAGCAACGCCGGCUACGUGUAGCCGGACUGAGAGUACCUGAAGAAAAAGCAUCGGCUAACUCCGUCCCAGCAGCCGCGGUAAUACGGAGUAUGCGAGUGUUAUCGGGUUUUAUGGGGUUUAAGGGGUUCGUAGGCGGAAGGCCAAGUCAGAGGGAAAAUCGCGGGGCUAAACCUCGCACGGCCGUUGAAACUGGCGAUCGUGAGUAGGGGAGAGGUAGGCGGAAUGCGUGGUGUAGCGGUGAAAUGCAUAGAUAUCACGAAGAACUCCGAUUGCGAAGGCAGUAUACCGGCGCCCAACUGACGCUGAGGCGCGAAAGCGUGGGUAUCGAACAGGAUUAGAUACCCCAGUAGUC
RNAcentral lists this ribosomal RNA (460 nucleotides) under uncultured bacterium. RNAcentral's name for it is "partial 16S ribosomal RNA". It matches the Rfam family "Bacterial small subunit ribosomal RNA", at positions 338 to 795 of the family's 1533-position model. The record is from RNAcentral.